This 468-nucleotide ribosomal RNA is filed under the name uncultured bacterium. Its description in RNAcentral is "partial 16S ribosomal RNA". It matches the Rfam family "Bacterial small subunit ribosomal RNA", at positions 28 to 507 of the family's 1533-position model. The record is from RNAcentral.
GACGAACGCUGGCGGCGUGCUUAACACAUGCAAGUCGAACGGAAAGGCCCUGCUUUUGUGGGCUUCUCGAGUGCCGAACGGGUGAGUAACACGUGAGUAACCUGCCCUUGACUUUGGGAUAACUUCAGGAAACUGGGGCUAAUACCGGAUAGGAGCUCCUGCUGCAUGGUGGGGGUUGGAAAGUUUCGGCGGUUGGGGAUGGACUCGCGGCUUAUCAGCUUGUUGGUGGGGUAGUGGCUUACCAAGGCUUUGGCGGGUAGCCGGCCUGAGAGGGUGACCGGGCACAUUGGGACUGAGAUAGGGCCCAGAAUCGUACGGGAGGCAGCAGGGGGGAAUAUUGCACAAUGGGCGGGAGCCUGAGGCAGCAACGCUGCGUGCGGGAUGACGGCCUUCGGGUGGUAAACCGCUUUCGCCUGUGACGAAGCGUGAGUGACGGUAAUGGGUAAAGAAGCACCGGCUAACUACGUG